This 916-nucleotide ribosomal RNA is filed under the name Microsporum canis. RNAcentral's name for it is "LSU rRNA". It matches the Rfam family "Eukaryotic large subunit ribosomal RNA", at positions 38 to 964 of the family's 3401-position model. Lineage: Eukaryota; Fungi; Ascomycota; Eurotiomycetes; Onygenales; Arthrodermataceae. The record is from RNAcentral.
GCAUAUCAUUAAGCGGAAGGAAAAGAAACCAACAGGGAUUGCCCCAGUAACGGCGAGUGAAGCGGCAAGAGCUCAAAUUUGAAAUCUGGCCUCCCUUGGGGGGUCCGAGUUGUAAUUUGUAGAAGGAUGCUUCGGGUGUGGCCGCCGUCUAAGUUUCCUUGGAACAGGACGUCGUAGAGGGUGAGAAUCCCGUCUUGGGCGGCCGGUCCGCGCCCGUGUGAAGCUCCUUCGACGAGUCGAGUUGUUUGGGAAUGCAGCUCUAAGCGGGUGGUAAAUUUCAUCUAAAGCUAAAUACUGGCCGGAGACCGAUAGCGCACAAGUAGAGUGAUCGAAAGGGUUAAAAGCACCUUGAAAAGGGAGUUAAACAGCACGUGAAAUUGUUGAAAGGGAAAGCGCUUGCGGCCAGACUCGAGGGGCGGGGUUCAGCGGGUGCGCGUCACCCGUGCACUCCCCGUCCCCCCGGGCCAGCAUCAGUUUCGACGGCCGGUCAAAGGCCCCCGGAAUGUGUCGUCUCUAGGGACGUCUUAUAGCCGGGGGUGCAAUGCGGCCCGCCGGGACUGAGGAACGCGCUCCGGCUCGGAUGCUGGCGUAAUGGCCGUAAGCGGCCCGUCUUGAAACACGGACCAAGGAGUCUAACAUCCACGCGAGUGUUCGGGUGUCAAACCCGUGCGCGCAGUGAAAGCGAACGGAGGUGGGAGCCCUAGGGCGCACCAUCGACCGAUCCUGAAGUCUUCGGAUGGAUUUGAGUAGGAGCGUGGCCGUUGGGACCCGAAAGAUGGUGAACUAUGCCUGAAUAGGGUGAAGCCAGAGGAAACUCUGGUGGAGGCUCGCAGCGGUUCUGACGUGCAAAUCGAUCGUCAAAUUUGGGCAUAGGGGCGAAAGACUAAUCGAAACCAUCUAGUAGCUGGCUCUGCGA